UACACUCACUACUGUGGGUCGCUCUGGAUAAGAGCGUCUGCUAAAUGACUAAAA
Non-coding RNA from Salmo salar (Atlantic salmon), 54 nucleotides. Lineage: Eukaryota; Metazoa; Chordata; Actinopteri; Salmoniformes; Salmonidae. The record is from Rfam.